GAAGUUGACGGGGCCCGCACAAGCGGUGGAGUAUGUGGUUAAUUCGAUGCAACGCGAAGAACCUUACCUGGUCUUGACAUCCCGGAGACCCUUAGGAAACUAGGGGGUGCUUCCAUCUGGAAGAAUCUGGAGACAGGUGCUGCAUGGCUGUCGUCAGCUCGUGUCGUGAGAUGUUGGGUUAAGUCCCGCAACGAGCGCAACCCUUGCCUUUAGUUGCCAGCAGUUCGGCUGGGCACUCUAAAGGGACUGCCGGUGUUAAACCGGAGGAAGGUGGGGAUGACGUCAAGUCCUCAUGGCCUUUAUGACCAGGGCUACACACGUACUACAAUGGCCGAUACAAAGGGCAGCGACACUGCGAGGUGAAGCCAAUCCCGUAAAAUCGGUCUCAGUCCGGAUUGGAGUCUGCAACUCGACUCCAUGAAGUUGGAAUCGCUAGUAAUCGUGAAUCAGAAUGUCACGGUGAAUACGUUCCCGGGCCUU
RNAcentral lists this ribosomal RNA (480 nucleotides) under uncultured Desulfobulbus sp. Its description in RNAcentral is "bacterial SSU rRNA". It matches the Rfam family "Bacterial small subunit ribosomal RNA", at positions 906 to 1382 of the family's 1533-position model. The record is from RNAcentral. Lineage: Bacteria; Pseudomonadati; Thermodesulfobacteriota; Desulfobulbia; Desulfobulbales; Desulfobulbaceae.